This 6623-nucleotide long non-coding RNA is filed under the name Sus scrofa (pig). RNAcentral describes it as "lncRNA (ENSSSCG00025032044.1)". The record is from RNAcentral. Lineage: Eukaryota; Metazoa; Chordata; Mammalia; Artiodactyla; Suidae.
GACUUUUUGAAAGGGGAGCGUUGGAGACCGGAUCCUGGGCGGAGGUGACUGCUGAUUGGUGGAGUGCGGAGCCGUUUACAAAUGGACACACAAAUGGAUUUGGAUAUAUGACACCAAGAUCAAAUUGAACAUGGCCAAGUAACUGACCUAUAAGGAACAUGUGCUGGAAAGAACAUGAGCUAAAAACUACUGUCUGUGAUAGAAAUUACAGGAUCAAUGAUUCUCUCAAGACUUAUGUGUAGUCCUCAAAGCCAUCCGCAAGUUGUAGAAGAUACCUAAGCUGUUUGCUUGGCUGCUUCCCACUUCCUGGCAAAGUACUCCUUCUGGAAUUUGUCCUUCUCCAAGCUGAGAGGGGAGAUACAGCUAGCAGAAGUAUACUCACCUCAUCGCCACCUAGUGAGAAGAACGGUGUCGAAACGUAUCGAAGGUGUUGGAGGAAGUUGAGAAGAUGUGACCUCUGGCUGACCUGCUGGCUGGACUGGCAAGUCGAGGCCCUUCACCCUCUCGCUUGUCCUUGAAAUGUAUCCUCUGCCCACAAUGGGAGCCAUGUUCAAGGUCACAGCCUUGAGAGAGUAAGGUGCUGGGACCAUCUGGACUGAAUAUGUGACUCAAUUCAGGAUGAAUGCGAUUGCUGGGCCAUACGGGCAUACCUGCGGCAUUUGAAAGUUCCCAGGCUAGUGGUUGAAUCAGAGCUGCAGCUGCCAGCGUACACCACAGCCACAGCAAUGCUGGAUCCAAGCCGCGUCUGCAACCUACACCACAGCUCAAGGCAAUGUCGGAUCCUUACCCUACUGAGUGAGACCAAGGAUCAAACCUGCAUCCUCAUGGAUACAAGUCGGGCUCAUUACCCCUGAGCCACAGCAGAAACUCCCAGGUAAAACAUCAUAAUUGAUGGAGAAAACUCAGAUCACAGUACAAGGCUUAUGGAGACUACAGAUACAGAGGCUAAGCUGGGUGGACAUAAGCAGGAAAGGACAUCUUAGACCUACAAUUGUUGACCUCUCUUUAUCAAGGUGGACACAACUUGUUCCGGCAUUUCUGAUCAUCAAGAGGCACUUUGUCAUCAAAGGGUGCUCAUCUUUCAAGAUGCUGUAACAAUUUUGAGUAUGAUCUUCUUGCCUUGCCGCAUUUAGGGUUUAGGAGCCCAUAUUUUAAAGUAGAAAGGGCAAGGAUGGAAGGUCACGGCAGGGACUCUCAGAGGCAAUAGUCAAAGUCAUAGAGUGGUGGGAAGAAAAUGAUCUCUCAGAGUCGCUUCUAUCGCUUUCCAUCUCUUUAACUGGCUUGUGCGGCUUAACACCUCUCAGCCUCAGCUUUCUUUCCAGUAAAAUAAGCGCCCUCAUAUCUACCUUAUGGGGUCCAUGAAAGCAUGACAUCAAUUGAGCAGGCGAAUCAGUGAACCUGCAGAAGCAACAAACACAGCUACCAUUUGUUGGGGACGUAACACAUUUGAGGCUCUGUGCAGACAUUUGAAAGACAUGGCUGUGUCACUUCCUCUGUCUAAUUUCUCUUCAUCUUCUCCCUCUCUUUUUAUUUCCUGAAGCUAGAAAUACGAUGGCGAGUUUAAAACUUUGUUCUUUCAUUCAACAAACAUUUUUUGAGCAACUCCUGUGUGCUAGUCAUGGUUCUUUGUUCUUAAGACACAGCUCCAAACAAGACAGACCAGAUCUAUAUUCUCAGAUAUUAUAGUGAAGGGAGACUGAAAACAAUGGGUAAGCAAAUACAUAUGCUAGGUAAUUUCGGACCGAUCAAGGUACUAAAACAACAACAACAAAAACAAGGUGUCACGAAGAGACAGAGACAGCUGGGAUGGGUGGGAAGAUAAUGAAUGAAGGUUAUUUUAAUUAAUUGAUUGAUUGAUUGGUUGACUUUUAAAUCUUAUUGGAGUACAACUGACUUAAAAUGUUGUGUUACUUUUAGGUGUAUAGCAAAGUGAAUCAGUUUACAUAUCCAUAUAUCCAUUCUUUUCAGAUUCUUUUCCCAUGUAAGUUAUUACAGAAUAUUGAGUAUAUUUGGCUGUGCUAUACAGUAGGUCCUUACAACUUAUAUAUUGUAUGUAUAGUAGUAUGCAUAUGUUAAUCCCAAGCUCCUAAUUUAGCCCCCCCCCCCCAAUGUUUCCUCUUUGGUAACCAUUUGGUUUUGAGAUCUUUGAGUCUGUGUCUGUCUUGUAAAUAAGUUCUUUUCUAUCACUUUUUAUUACAUUCCACAUAUAAGUGAUAUCGUAUGCUGUUUGUCUUUCUGACAUACUUCACUUACUAUGAGAAUCUCUAGUUGCAUCCAUGUUGUUGGAAAUGCCAUUCAUUUGUUCUUUUUUAUGGCUGAGUAAUAUUCCUGUGUAUAUAUGUACCACCUCUGAAUGAUGGCUAUUUUAGAAAGGGUGAUGAGAAAGUGUGUGACAUUAGAAAAGAAACUUGAAGUGAGGAAUGAGCAAUGGGAAAAGGUAGGAAAAGUGAGCUGUGGGCAGAGUGUAUGCAAGUAAAAUGAACUUAAUGUGUUUGAAGAGCAAAGAAGUCAGAAUUCCAAGUGGUUAGCAAAUGAGAGAAUGCAGGAGGUGAAGAAGGAGAGACUGGGUUUUCUAGAAGGGCAGGAAGUUUGACUUUAUUCUAAAUGUGAUGGAGGGUUUUGCACAUUGGAAUGAUGUCCUCUGAUUUAUGUUUUAUAAGGAAAAUUUAUUCUAUUGUUUGAAGAUGACUCGAGGGGUUAAAAUGACCAGGAGGCAUGAUAAGGAAAGAGUGAGAAGGCCAAGGCAAAAUCCAAAUGAGUGAUGACUGUGGUUUGGCCAAAGGUUUUUGCCAUUGGGGUAGAGAGAAGAUGGCUUUUGGAUAAGUUUGGGAGAUGAGCUGAUUAGACCCACAUGGAUAGAACUUGGGAAAUAAAAGAAAGGGAAAAUCAAGGAUGACUUCUAGGCUUGGGCUGAGCACUUGUUUGUUGGAAAAUCUAGGACUCCCUUAACUGCCCCACUGUGUGUUUUAAGAGGAAGCAAUUGCUCGUGUUAUACAAGAUGAGCUCUUAAGUCUGCAUGUGUGAUAUUCAGUGGGACCAAGACCGGGCUAGAGAUACAGUUGAACUGGAGAAAAGAUGUUGAUGUUUCCUGAAUCUUUGGGUUGUGUUCUUUCAGUAUACUGGUGGUGGAUUACUUUGUAACUUUUGCUUCAGUUUUCCUCCAACUGCUCCGGUUUCCACCCCCACUCUCCGCUCCCACUUCUGCUGCUUCCUCUUCACUUCAGCAGUGCAAGAACCACCUUGCAGGGCACGGCAAGUUCAACAGACUUGGCACCUGGGCCCUGGUGGAUGAGUUCUACCCUUUAGGCAGUGUGGCCUCCUGGCCUGCCAAAUCUGGAAUGCUUUCCUGGCUGCCUAUGCUGCUCCGGCACAGGGCUUCGGGGCUGGAGCAGAGCAGGACAGACUCCUACCCAUGCCUCUUUUGGUUAGGGUAUGAGGGGGAAGGGCCUGCAGCCCUGGGUGGUUCAUGAUGCCGAAACCCCAGGACUGCUGCUUGGGGCUGACUCUGGGAGUUGGUGUAGACAGUAGCUAGGCUCUGAGGCAUUUUGACAGCAAUUUUCAAGAGAGUCCCUUACCUUCCCUGAACUCCAAUUCUCUCAUCCAUAAAGAUGGGAUAGUAAUAACGAUUAAAGAUAGGACGGUGAUAACAAUUGUUUUGAGUUAUUGUAAUUAUUGACCACUUUUUUGGUGUCUUUUUAGGGUUGUACCCGCGGCAUAUGAAAGUUCCCAGGCUAGGGGUCAAAUCAGGGCUGUAGCUGUUGGCCUACACCACAACUACAGCAAUGCCAGAUCUGAGCCGUGUCUGCAAUGUACACCACAGCUCACAGCAAUGCCAGAUCCUUAACCCACUAAGUGAGGCCAGGGAUCAAAGCCACGUCAUUAUAGUUAUCCUGGAUACCAGUAGGGUUUGUUAACCACUGAGACAUGGUGAGAAUUCCUGAUUAUUGACAAUUUGAGAGGCAGUAAAGAGCCAAGGGACAUUUGGCUUGGAGUCUAGAGGCAGGAAAAGACCUCCAUUCUUUUCCAUAUGGAUCCUGACAUUGGAACGUGUUUCUUAACCAAUCUGUGCCUCAGUUUCCUUAUCUCCUCUAAAAGAAUAAUAAUGGUGCCUACCUCAAAUGGCUAUCCCGAGAUUUAAUUUCUUGGAAAGUGCUUCCAACUGUGACUGGCAUUUGACUAUAGCACCUAAAAAUAGUGUUUGACAAGAGGCACUUGAUGCUUGUCUGGUAGGAAAAAAAUGAUGUCUAGAAAAAGUGCAGAAAUAGCAUUAAAAAUUAUUGUUUUAAAUUUUGUUAUAUCCUUCAUUUGCAUUACUGCUUCUGUUUUCCAGAAAUAACUACAGUUUCAGUACAUGAAUCUCUGGGAUUUAAAUGAGAGGAUGACAUGCUCAGAUGCCUAUGAGGGGUGAGAGCAGGUAACACAAAUAAGUAAGGGAAGUAGGCUCGGGGGAUAGACCAGGGCGCAUAUGGUCUCAUCUGUCUUAACAGGUUACAUGGCUUAGCAGUGGUGUCACACGAAAGUUCUUUAAGAGAAGCUGGAAAUCUGGAAUUUUUAGAUAAAAUUUCCAGGUUUAUAAACAUGGGUGGUUAGACCAAAGUGCUGGGAAAAACAAAAAACAAAACAAAACAAAACAAGACAAAACAAACCUUGCUGGCUAAAGAGACAUCUGAUCCAUGGGGUAGGUCUGGCCAUGGGCCACCAGUUUAGUUACAUGGAUCUAGAUAACUGUGGAUCAGUUUGUGAAAUCAGCUGCAAGUGGGAUCCGGGAAGGUACAUUUAAAUGAGAGGAUGUUUUCAUAUGGAAAGCUACAGUGGGGGCUGCUCCGGAGCUUCCUCUGGAGUAGGAAACGGGGUUGGGAGUGAUGGGGAGGAUGCCGAAAGAUGAAGCAUGUGAUCCAGAUGGCCUGGGCAUACUUCAAAACCCGAUGUAGGGCUGGCCUCAGUGCCAUAGAUGUCUGUGUUUUGAACAUACAGGUUGUUUUUACUUCCUUGGCAGUCAGGUGAUACGGAGGCAGUAUUGUUCAAUUCACUGCUUCCUGGGGCCUGAUUGCACCUGCUGUGCAUAGCUAUGGCAUCACUCAUGGUUAGGCAACUGCUUGCCUUUGUCCUGAGGCUCCUGUGGGUCCCACCUGAUGCAGGUGUUUUGGAGGGAGCAUACACAGGUAGACUGCUUGGAUUGGAUCCUAUAACCCAGUCCACUAACCUGAUCUAUAGAGCAGGUGCCCAGAGAGUGGGGCUGAACUUCACUUUCAAUGACCUGGACUAUCACACAGCUAUUUGGUUAUGGUUUUCAUAAUUCAGCAAAGAUGACUUAAGGCUUUAUGGUGUUAUAGAGUGCUCUGGCAUCCAUGGCAAAGCCUAAAAUCAGGUGGAAGAUAAAACAUUAUAAUUAUUAUUCAUAUUCAAAGUAAAACUCAAACACCUAAUGCUAUUUAAAAGUUAUAGGACAGUACUAGGCAAUCAGUGGUUAUUAACAAGGGUUGUUUAGCGAUAUCUGGAGACAUUAUAGUUGUUAUAACUGAGUGAGAGGUUUGCUGCUGGCAUAUAGUGGGUGGACGCCAUGGAUGCUUCAAAACAUCCUGCAAUGCCCAGGACAGUCCCCCACCACAAAAAAUUAUCGGGGCUCACAUGUCGAUAGUGACAAGGCUGAGAAACCUGUAAUAAAUUGAAAGAAAAAAAAUUCAUAUGAGAAGGUAACUUUAGAAAUAAAAUUAGGGGCAUAAAUUAAAGGCUGCCAUGCACUGGGUUUAAGAUGUGUAUAUAUGCGUGCUUUUAGCAAAUUGAUUUCUUCAUGUACUCAUGGCUGAAUUAAAUCAAUUAUAUAUAAAGCGACCUACUUCCUCCUAUCACAAGAAACUAUUUUCACUAUAAAGGAGCUUAGAGCUGCACAUAGAAGCCCAAUGCCCACCCCCAAAGCCAAAUAUGCUAAUAUCUAGAGCAAUUAUCAUACAAGCAGGUAGAACCCAAAGAGAAAAAACUAGGGUCCUUGAUCCUUCCAAGUGGAGCCAUCACUUGUGUCCUCUCCACCGAUUGCUCCCAGUAGGUGGUCAAGUUCAUUGCCUUUGACAUCUUGCUUUGCUGACAGAUGCUUUCAAUACGAAGGCAAUUCAAAAGCAAAUGAAUAGAGGCUGAGGAGUUCAUGCAAUAGACCUGCUGUGGGUUCAUCACCCACGUCCAGUGCAAUACUUCCUAAGAGGUACCCCUUGAAUGGAAGACACAGGUCAUUUUUUCCAGAGGACAGGCUCUUCCUUCAAGUUCAGACUGAUCUGUUGAGGACAGUAGACAACAGAAAGUGGCUGGCAGAGUUGGGAUAUUGAGACCACACCCUGAAUUUUGUGAAACAUUUGAUAGAAAAGAAGAGAGGCGUUCCUGCUGUGGCUCAGUGGUUAAGAAACCAACCAGUAUCUAUGAGGUUGAUGGAUCCCUGGUCCUGGUCAGUGGGUUAAGGAUCUCUCAUUGCCGUGAGCUGUGGUUUAGGUCACAGACUUGGCUCAGAUCUGGCUGUUGCUGUGGCUGUGACUGUGGCCAGCAGCUGCAGCUCUGAUUCAGCACCUAGCCUGGGAACUUCCCUAUGCCAUAGGUACAGCCCUUAAAAUAAAAAAAAAAAAAAAAAAAAAAAAAAG